CGCUUCAGGGCCGGUUUCAGCGGAACGCUCUGCUUUCUGCUUACUGCUAAAUCCUCCUUCUAGAUACACGUUUCAGUAUUAUUAUCCGUGAUUCGCUGUAAUAGGGAAUGUAGCCCAUUUCUUCCCUUUCCAUACGCUACACCUCGACCUGACGUUUUGGGCUAUGCCAAUUAAGCUUACUAGAAUGGCCUUCACAGGGUAAGCUGGCGACGGCGGUAUAUAGGCGGGAAUGACUAGGAAAGGUGAGGUUAAACGGGGGUUAUCGGUUAUUGAACAGGCUCCUCUAGGUGGGUCUAAAGCACCGCCAAGUCCUUUGGGUUUUAAGCUAUUGCUCGUAGUUUCCAGGCGGAUAGCG
This 355-nucleotide ribosomal RNA is filed under the name Epinephelus tauvina (greasy grouper). RNAcentral describes it as "partial 12S ribosomal RNA". Lineage: Eukaryota; Metazoa; Chordata; Actinopteri; Perciformes; Serranidae. The record is from RNAcentral.